UCAGCGACUAAGCUCUCACUAAGACCUUUUGAUCUUACCCUGACCGUUUGACAGCAACCAGUUUGGGGAUUCUUGGAGGAACCUUCCAGUGAUCGUAUCUUCUUGGUCUUUCCUGUGUAUGAUUCAGCACACUCAGACCAGUUGUGAGGUAACAGCCUCUUUAAUACUCUAGGAGAGACAACACUAGGCUCGCGGAGAAGUAUGCCUUUCAUUUGAGGCUGCAGCUUCCGAUGUAGGUCUGGUCCAGUGAGUGUGGAUGACUUCGCAGAACCUGAUAUCUGAAAAAAAUGAUUACAAAACAGUUUAGUCAGCUCAUAAGCAAAUUAGUUAUAGAUUAUUUCAAACAAAGAAUGAAUAACGUUACCUUUCCAAUUGCAAGCCAUCUCUCAUCUUGCCACGACUGACGAACCCUGACGUUUGCCUUGUGAAAAGUAAACUCUGCAGGAGUCCCAAGCAACCGAACCACAUAGUACUUUCCAGAUAACUCUUCACGAACAGUGGCAGCUUUCCAGGAGAAAUCAUCAAGAACUUCCACCAGUUCACCACUCUUCCAUCGCUCUACAUCCACUUGCGGAGGACACGGCCUAAUCAUCUUCCUUGGAGCUCUCUCCACCACUGCAUCCUCGUGGAAAGAGUAGUAUCUAACACUGUAGGUAUGUCCAUUACCUGAGAUUAUCUCAGCGCAUCGCCACGCACCAUAAGGCGCCUCUUUGCUGCUAAAUACCUCAACUCUACUUCCUUUUCUGAAUCUCAUGGUAACCAAGUCCACUUAACACCUGAAAAAGUAAAAAAAAAAUCCCUAUAUUAUAACGCUACUUUAAAAUCAUACCAUUCGACACAUUCUUAAACAGUUACUACUAUCCUGACUAAAGCUCAGUAACACAGAUAUCAAACAAAGGUUCCUAAUAAACUCCGUCUGAAACGUAUUUGCUUAAUAUAAUAAUCCGAAUCAAAAUAAGUUGAAUCAAUUUGUAAACAGAAAUAAAGAAACAAACAUAAUCGAGAUCAUUCACAUGAAAAAGAAAAAAAAAAAAAAAACAAAUCAAGAUCAAUUCAAACUUAAUUCUUCAGAUAGCAGAAGAUCAUACAUACAUUGUUUAGAAUGUUGAAAAAAACACAGCCUUAAUAGUUAUCAUCCUGAUCAAAGCUCAGUAACAAAGAUUUCAACAAAGGUUCCAAAUAAACUCGUCUUAAAACGUGUUUGCUUGAUUUAAGAAUCUGAAAUCAAAUUAAGAUGAAUCAGUAUAAUCAUCCGUAAAACAGAAUCAAAGAAACCAGCAUAACCGAGAUCAAUCACAUGAAAUACAAAACGAAUCAAAGAUCAAUUCAAGCUCAGCUCCAAAUAAACUAGCGAAGAAGAAUCUCGAUCAAAGGGAUGAACAGUAACAUGGAAACAACAGAAGAUAAGAAAAAAUCGAGCAAGAGAUCAUCACCUUCUGGAAUGUUUGGAUGAGAUAAUCGCCGGGAAUUUUCGAAAUUCGUCUCUUGAUUUUUCUUAAAUGACUGAUUGAAAUAUUGGAAGAGGAAUUGGGGAUUAGGGUUUCAAGUAAUGUAGAUAUGCAAAGAAGAUUGGGCGUUACGAAAUUUAUAUUUAUUUUGGUUUUUGUUUUUGUGACGUGGGUUUUAAGUUUAUUUCUGUAAACCAGAAAUAGGUGACAACCCAUACAUUAAUUACGUUUCACUCGCUUCAUUAGUGCGUGCUCACGCGCGUUAAUUGUGUUCUUGAGUUUUUCGAUACGCGUUUAAAGGCAGCUUCAAUAUAGAUCAUUAAGUGGUUUAAUAAAAUCAACUUACAAUAUGUGGUUUAAUAAAAAAAUUAUUUUGCACAAAUUGAUAUGUAUGGUGUACACUCAAGCCUAUCUGGUUUUGCUUAUGUAAUAUAUUCAAGCCUUAUACCCUCGAGAAUUUUGAAAAAAAUUAUAUAAAUAGGUUACAAAAUUUGUAAAAAUUUUUUUUUUAGACCACCAAAUUAUAAAAUCUUUACUAAAUCGUCUAAAGACCCUAAUAUCUCAGGGCCGGCCCUAAAUAUAUUUAGUGAAUUUUAAAAUGGGUCAAUGCAAAAUUUACGUGAAAAACGUAUAAUACCAAAGUUAACACUAUAUACUACUCCCUCCGUUCCUUAAUGAUAGACUUUUUAAAAAAAAAAUUGUUUCAAAAAGAUGUAUUUUUUGUGUUUUCUAUGAUAAAAUUGUAAACUUCAAGAAAAUUAAUUCACUUUAUUGAAUUACUAUUGGUUAAAAGUUAUUGAAAAUUAAAAAUUACAGAAAACAAUACAUUUAUUAUGGUAGUUUAAUGUGUUUUAUUAAUAUGUGUGAAAAUACUAAAAAGUCUAUCAUUUAGGAACAGAGGGAGUAUUAAAUACUGGGAUGAUGAUUUCCACACUGUAAUGUGAUUUUCACACUGUAAUAUUCUAUUAAAAUUUUACCAGAAAAACGUAUAAUACCAAAAUUUACAUGAGAUAUCAUUGAUGGCCUUGUGGUUUUAAUGAGAUUCUCACACACGAUUGUCAGAGGUCGCGAGUUCGACUCUCUGACAGCGAGACGGUACUGAAAUCUCUCCAAAAAAAUCUUGUAGCAGAUGGCUCACGGGUUUCUACGGUGCUAAUGGGAUUUUUCUGGAUGCGGGGCUUUUCGGGGUGGGAUUAGUCACUAUAAAAACAAUUACCCUCAACAGCUUAUGAAUAGCUUUCAGACCCAAAACGAGACGUAAAGUCAGAGAGAGGUGAGAGAAAACACUCUCAAGCCCCUCUCCACCCCAAACCCUUUUUCUCUUGGCGCCGCUUCUCUAUUUUCAUCUCUGGUGACAGUCGGUCGCCAACCCAAAUUGCUCCAUCUGUCCAUCCUCAAUCUUGUUGUGCCCCGAUUUACCCACCUCCUCGUUGCUUUUCAACUCUAGUUCUUUGCUCGGAUUGCGGCUGGAUCCGGUGAACCAAAAAGGUCGAUGGGUGUGUACUCGUCUUCCCCAGAGUGAUGGCGAGGUGGUGGAUGGUCAUAGCGCAGCAGGAGGCUUCGAUUUGAAGGUAGAUUUAGGGUUUGGACUUCGAUUAGAUCUGGGUCAGAUCUCUCUUGGAGGCUCGCCGGUGCUGCAGGGUGUUGUUGCCUCUGCCUUUCCGGUUUGUUCCGCCUCCUCGAUCUCCCCUUGUCUCUGUCUUCGGUUGCUUAGCUAGAACUUCUCCAUUUUGACCUUCGGGUCCGAGAUGAAGCGAUGUUGAGGGCUUCGCUGGGGACUUCUCCUUUGUUCUGAUUUCGCAACAGCCACCAUGGCAUUUUUGAAGGGUUCAAUAGAAAGACGGAGAUCAGUUAACGACGUUUCUUGUUCCCAACUUAGUGGACCAGAAGCGAACAAGUUCCCCAAAGUACUGCGGUAAGUAUAUAGUUCAGACCUACAGGAACUUCUUGCUCCAUCGCCUGCUAAUGAAUCCUCCCGCCUAGCUUCUUCUUCCCCAAGGCCACAAUGAGAUUCAGCAUCGCUGCUACAUGAUUCUGCCUGUUGACUAAAGCCAUCUAGCAUACAAGGUCGCAUGUUACUCCCAUCAUAACUAGUGGCGCUACAACUACCAACUGAGCACGCAUCGCUAUCGUAACAAUCAUCAGCGACUAAGCUCUCACUAAGACCUUUUGAUCUUACCCUGACCGUUUGACAGCAACCAGUUUGGGGAUUCUUGGAGGAACCUUCCAGUGAUCGUAUCUUCUUGGUCUUUCCUGUGUAUGAUUCAGCACACUCAGACCAGUUGUGAGGUAACAGCCUCUUUAAUACUCUAGGAGAGACAACACUAGGCUCGCGGAGAAGUAUGCCUUUCAUUUGAGGCUGCAGCUUCCGAUGUAGGUCUGGUCCAGUGAGUGUGGAUGACUUCGCAGAACCUGAU
This 3865-nucleotide long non-coding RNA is filed under the name Brassica napus (rape). RNAcentral's name for it is "long non-coding RNA (BNAP_LNC014543)". The record is from RNAcentral. Lineage: Eukaryota; Viridiplantae; Streptophyta; Magnoliopsida; Brassicales; Brassicaceae.